CCGCUGGAUAGCUCACGAGUGCUGGGCUUUCUCCACGGAGUUGUCUGCCCCUCCGAAGCGUCUCCUUGAGAUGGUGCCGGCUACCUCGGGUUGGCUCGUUGGAACGUGAGCAGGUGGCCGUGACAGCCAAACUUGGAAGACGGCAGAAGCUGUGCACUCCGGUGCCUGGGCUCGGAGGCUGAAAUUAAUCUCCUUUCUUCUCAGGAAUCUCUAGGCACAUUUGCUUUUCAUCUUGUUUCCUGACACAGGAUAGCGUCUUAUCACAGUUAAAUGAACCCUUGGCGUUCACACGCCCCCUCACGUUGCUCAGCCAUAUGGAAACAGCAGUAAACAAAAUCACCACUGUGUUUCAAAACCUGAGGACAGGCACCAACUACCUCCUGGACCACACAGCAGCCAGCACUGGGCCAACCAGUCACCUGCACUGAGAGAGCUGGGCUCUCCUCUUCCCUGUGCUCUGCAGCUGGGCCAACCAGCCAUGUGCCUGAAGUUUUCUGGUUCUUCCUGCCACUUUUGGACUUGGAUAAACAGAGCACCACUGUAGUUACUGAGUCUGGUUCUGGCCGUCUUCCACCCCUACCACAGCUCCAAGGAACUGAGCUGAGUUGUGGAGAAACAGCAUGCAGAAACUAGCCAAUUAUUCUGACACGUUCUCCUUCUCAGUGAUGCCCGUCACCUUGGACGUAAAUGUGUUCUGUUGAGAAGAUUUGGAUAAGACGUGUGCAUGCACAGAAGAAGACUCGAACCCCAGAGUGAAUACGAAGUGAGGAGCAGCCACCAGCCAGUGAAGGAGAGAAGCCUCAGAAGAAACCAGGCCUGCUGACACCUUGACCUUGGACUUCUAGCCUCCUGACUGUGAGACAAUAUAUAUCUGUUGUUGAAGCCUUCCACUCUGUGGUACUGCAAUCCGGCAGGACUGGUGAACCAAUAAA
Molecule: long non-coding RNA, 932 nt
Organism: Suricata suricatta (meerkat)
Lineage: Eukaryota; Metazoa; Chordata; Mammalia; Carnivora; Herpestidae
Exons: 4
Source: RefSeq, a predicted model, not a curated record